Molecule: ribosomal RNA, 446 nt
Filed under: uncultured Allobosea sp.
Lineage: Bacteria; Pseudomonadati; Pseudomonadota; Alphaproteobacteria; Hyphomicrobiales; Alloboseaceae
Description: bacterial SSU rRNA
Rfam family: Bacterial small subunit ribosomal RNA
Source: RNAcentral
UUCAGAGCGAACGCUGGCGGGCAGGGCUUAAACACAUGCAAAAGUCGAAAACGGGGCAUUCGGUGCUAGUGGGCAGACGGGUGAGUAACACGUGGGAACGUACCUUUCGGUUCGGAAUAACUCAGGGAAACUUGAACUAAUACCGGAUACGCCCUUCGGGGGAAAGAUUUAUCGCCGAUAGAUCGGCCGCGUCUGAUUAGCUAGUUGGUGAGGUAACGGCUCACCAAGGCGACGAUCAGUAGCUGGUCUGAGAGGAUGAUCAGCCACAUUGGGACUGAGACACGGCCCAAACUCCUACGGGAGGCAGCAGUGGGGAAUAUUGGACAAUGGGCGCAAGCCUGAUCCAGCCAUGCCGCGUGAGUGAUGAAGGCCUUAGGGUUGUAAAGCUCUUUUGUCCGGGAAGAUAAUGACUGUACCGGAAGAAUAAGCCCCGGCUAACUUCGUGC